ACCAGGCAGGGUGGCACAUGCCUGUAGUCCCAGCUACUCGGGAGGCUGAGGUGGGAGGAUCACUUGAGCCCAGGAGUUCUGGGCUGUAGUGUGCUAUGCCAAUCGGGUGUCCACACUAAGUUCGGCAUCAAUAUGGUGACCUCCCGGGAGUGGGGGACCACCAAGUUGCCUAAGGAGGGGUGAACUGGCCCAGGGUGGAAACGGAGCAGGUCAAAACUCUAGUGUUGAUCAGUAGUGGGAUUGUGCCCAUGAAUAGCCACUGCACUCCAGCCUGGGCAACAGCGAGACUCCGUCUCU
RNAcentral lists this signal recognition particle RNA (297 nucleotides) under Aotus nancymaae (Ma's night monkey). RNAcentral describes it as "Metazoan signal recognition particle RNA (ENSANAG00000009829.1)". It matches the Rfam family "Metazoan signal recognition particle RNA". From Rfam's summary of the family: The signal recognition particle (SRP) is a universally conserved ribonucleoprotein. The record is from RNAcentral. Lineage: Eukaryota; Metazoa; Chordata; Mammalia; Primates; Aotidae.